AGAAUCAACGCUGGCGGCGUGCCUAACACAUGCAAGUCGAACGAGAAAGUGGAGCAAUCCAUGAGUACAGUGGCGCACGGGUGAGUAACACGUGAAUCAUCUACCUUCGAGUGGGGAAUAACUGAGAGAAAUCUUAGCUAAUACCGCAUAAUACCCACGGGUCAAAGCAGCAAUGCGCUUGAAGAGGAGUUCGCGGCAGAUUAGUUAGUUGGCGGGGUAAUGGCCCACCAAGACGAUGAUCUGUA
RNAcentral lists this ribosomal RNA (245 nucleotides) under uncultured bacterium. RNAcentral's name for it is "partial small subunit ribosomal RNA". It matches the Rfam family "Bacterial small subunit ribosomal RNA", at positions 26 to 285 of the family's 1533-position model. The record is from RNAcentral.